AUUAGAUGUAACGAUAAAUCAAAGAUUCGUUUGACAUUCCUCGCACGCGUUACCGCAACAACGAGCUUUUCGCAAAGUGUUUCAUCGACGGACGUAAGGUACUUUACUAUAUUUUACGACCAUAUUAUCGUUUACUAUUCGUUAUGCUUUUGCUUGCGCGGACGGUUACGAUGGCCAACUACAUAGGUAUAUCCGCGCGGUAUCCUACCAUUUCUUUGCUCGAGAAACUAGAGCAGUUGCAAAAACUAUACAUAGAAAAGUAAUACCACGGGGUAAAACUUCGUUCGAAAAUGUUGUUUGUUACGCUUCUUUCCGUACGUGAAAAUUAUUCGUUGAAAAUUUGCCAAUUUGUAUGUUUGAUAUCGCUAAUGAAUUCUGGUCACCGUGAGAAAACGUCGGUUGGUUCGGUCCGGACUUAAUGGCGCCGUUAACUCACCCUGAUAUAGUUAUCCUAUCGGAAGAUCGACG
RNAcentral lists this unclassified non-coding RNA (468 nucleotides) under Athalia rosae (coleseed sawfly). RNAcentral's name for it is "misc RNA ENSAEAG00005009451.1". The record is from RNAcentral. Lineage: Eukaryota; Metazoa; Arthropoda; Insecta; Hymenoptera; Athaliidae.